UUUCUGUUUUUCUCUCUGCAUUAUUGGGAAGGGCCUGUAAUUAAGCAUUUCAUUGUUAGCCUACACCUGUUUACGAAGAAUGUGACGAAUCAUAUUAGAUUUUUUGACCCACUGGUUUAAUGUACCUCCAACACCAGCACCAGGUCCGUAACCAGCACCACUACCAGGUAAACCACCUCCGGGUCUGUAUCCACCACCAGGCACUCCACCAGCACCAAGCCCAGCUCCAGGUCCGUAACCAGCACCACUACCAGGUAAACCACCUCCGGGUCUGUGUCCACCACCAGGCACUCCACCAACUCCUCCACCUGGUCCAUAGCCAGCUCCACCAUGUCCUUCCCCGGCACCACCUGGUCCAACCCCUCCACCUGUUCCAUAACUUCCAGCACUACCUGGUCCAUAGCCACCAGGUCCAGCUCCACCUGGUCCAUAGCCGGCCCCACCUGGUCCAUAACUGGCCCCACCUGGUCCAACUCCACCUCCAGGACCGAAGCUACCGCCAGGCCUGUAACCGCCUCCUGGUUCCCCUCCAGCCCCACCAGGCAGUCUUCCGGUUCCAAUCCCAGAUGCAGGCACUCCCUGGCUGAGCCCACCACCAGCUCCAGUGCCUGCUCCACCCUGACCUGGAGAAAGGGAGGCAAUGGUCUUGUAUGAAGAGUGCUUAUACCUCAACAAUUAGAG
Long non-coding RNA from Oncorhynchus tshawytscha (Chinook salmon), 681 nucleotides. The record is from Ensembl. Lineage: Eukaryota; Metazoa; Chordata; Actinopteri; Salmoniformes; Salmonidae.